Long non-coding RNA from Chinchilla lanigera (long-tailed chinchilla), 1354 nucleotides. Lineage: Eukaryota; Metazoa; Chordata; Mammalia; Rodentia; Chinchillidae. The record is from Ensembl.
UUGAAACCAGGUCACAUUCUGGGGGAGCUGUUUCCUGGCGGGUCACCUUCGCCUCUGGGACAUGGACGUCCACAUCACUGCCCCACCCACGGGCACCCUGCACCCUGCGUCGAGCCUCGCCAAGCUGCUGUGCUGUCAGACCCCACCACUCCCGAACCUGCAGCUGACGGCCAGCGGUCCCAGCAGAGGUGCUGGCCAGCAGGCCACUCUGGGUUCCGUCCCUGUGAGAGCGCAUUCAGGGUGCCGUGGAGCCUGCCGGAGCCGGAGGCCAAAGCCUGCUGCAGGACGGUUCUGGACCCCACUUCCCCCACUUCUGGGGGCCAAGCCAGGUUAGAGACGCCAGGAGCCCAGAGACAGAGAGGCCAGGUUGCACUGGCCCACAGGCACUGGAGGGAACUGGCAGCCUUCGUCUUUGGUGUUCCCUCCGGAAAGGGUUCACGCUGCCCCAGGGCCAGCGAGACCGCAAAAGACAGAAGCCCCGUGAGAUCUGGUCUCAGUGUCCACGGUGGGUUGUGGUCCUACAUCCCUGCGCUCGGGUGGUGUUCAGGUUAGAGGCAAGCACUCUCGGACCACACCGAGCCUUGGCUGUGCAGAUGCCGUCCUGGAUUAACCGAGCCGGGAGACACGGGCUCUGGGGGUGCGGCGAUGGGGCCCAGGAAGGUGGCUCAGUGGCAUCUUCCUCCAAGUCCGGAAGCCACUGGCGGAGGGCUGGACAGUGAGAGCUGCCUGGUGCAAUCCCAGCGGUGCCCUGGCUGCCAUCCUGCUGCUUAGGAAGCUCUGUUCACUGCAUGACAUUGUUCCUUGUGGAAGUACCUUCCAGCGCAGAAGCCAGAAUGAAGUCUUGAAGGUUUUGAGAACGCAAAGGCAGGAUAUUAAUAUUUCAAUGCUUAGAAAUUGGAAAAAAGCACACCACAGAAGUAUCUGCAAUCAUCAGGAGAAUUUGGCCUUUGGGGAGACUGCAGGACAGCUCCAAAUGAACAGACAGGAGUGGUUGUGAUAUUUUGCUGCAUUUCUAUAAACUACUGCAACCUAUUAUUGGACCUCUGAGUUUAUCGCGCUGUGAAUUUGGACGUUUACACUUCUAGCAGUGCCUGUGCAGAAGGAUUUGUUAAUUUUUAGGGAGUGAAAGGAUGCAUUUAAAUCUAUGCAUUAAAGGUACACGUGCUAAAAUGGCCGAAGCUAUCUGGUUAGCUAAGUUGGGGAGAGCGCUGAAAAUUACUCAUGGGUUCUUUAUAGGAGGUUAUUAAAAGUAGCUAGAUUUGAAGAUAGAACAAUAAGAUUUAUGAGUCACAAGUAAAAAAAUGAAGGCAGAAUUCAGCCUUUAAAUGUCAUCUUUAAUAAACAGAAGCAAUUA